RNAcentral lists this ribosomal RNA (461 nucleotides) under uncultured Desulfotomaculum sp. Its description in RNAcentral is "bacterial SSU rRNA". It matches the Rfam family "Bacterial small subunit ribosomal RNA", at positions 933 to 1382 of the family's 1533-position model. Lineage: Bacteria; Bacillati; Bacillota; Clostridia; Eubacteriales; Desulfotomaculaceae. The record is from RNAcentral.
UGGAGCAUGUGGUUUAAUUCGACGCAACGCGAAGAACCUUACCAGGGCUUGACAUCUUCUGACCGCUUAAGGAAACUUAAGCUUUCCGGAAGGUUUACUUUCUGGACAGAAAGACAGGUGGUGCAUGGUUGUCGUCAGCUCGUGUCGUGAGAUGUUGGGUUAAGUCCCGCAACGAGCGCAACCCCUACGGUUAGUUGCUAACGGGUAAGGCCGAGCACUUUAGCCGAACUGCCGUUGACAAAACGGAGGAAGGCGGGAUGACGUCAAAUCAUCAUGCCCUUUAUGUCCUGGGCUACACACGUGCUACAAUGGCCUGUACAAAGGGCAGCAAAGGGGCGACCCGGAGCAAAUCCCAAAAAACAGGUCUCAGUUCGGAUUGCAGGCUGCAACUCGCCUGCAUGAAGGCGGAAUCGCUAGUAAUCGCAGGUCAGCAUACUGCGGUGAAUACGUUCCCGGGCCUU